UGCGUAGGGUGCAAGCGUUAAUCGGAAUUACUGGGCGUAAAGCGUGCGCAGGCGGCUUUGCAAGACAGAUGUGAAAUCCCCGGGCUCAACCUGGGAACUGCAUUUGUGACUGCAUGGCUGGAGUGCGGCAGAGGGGGAUGGAAUUCCGCGUGUAGCAGUGAAAUGCGUAGAUAUGCGGAGGAACACCGAUGGCGAAGGCAAUCCCCUGGGCCUGCACUGACGCUCAUGCACGAAGGCGUGGGGAGCAAACAGG
This 253-nucleotide ribosomal RNA is filed under the name uncultured bacterium. RNAcentral describes it as "partial 16S ribosomal RNA". It matches the Rfam family "Bacterial small subunit ribosomal RNA", at positions 524 to 776 of the family's 1533-position model. The record is from RNAcentral.